This 468-nucleotide ribosomal RNA is filed under the name uncultured bacterium. RNAcentral's name for it is "partial 16S ribosomal RNA". It matches the Rfam family "Bacterial small subunit ribosomal RNA", at positions 28 to 507 of the family's 1533-position model. The record is from RNAcentral.
GACGAACGCUGGCGGCGUGCUUAACACAUGCAAGUCGAACGGAAAGGCCCUGCUUUUGUGGGGUGCUCGAGUGGCGAACGGGUGAGUAACACGUGAGUAACCUGCUCUUGACUUUGGGAUAACUUCAGGAAACUGGGGCUAAUACCGGAUAGGAGCUCCUGCUGCAUGGUGGGGGGUGGAAAGUUUCGGCGGUUGGGGAUGGACUCGCGGCUUAUCAGCUUGUUGGUGGGGGAGUGGCUGACCAAGGCUGUGACCGGUAGCCGGCCUGAGAGGGUGACCGGCCACAUUGGGACUGAGAUACGGCCCAGACGCCUACGGGAGGCAGCAGUGGGGAAUAUUGUACAAUGGGCGGAAGCCUGAUGCAGCAACGCCGCGGGCGGGAUGACGGCCUUCGGGUUGUAAACCGCUUUCGCCUGUGACGAAGCGGGAGUGACGGUAAUGGGUAAAGAAGCACCGGCUAACUACGUG